CCUGGCGGCCGUAGCGCGGUGGGUCCCACCUGACCCCAUGCCGAACUCAGAAGUGAAACGCCGUAGCGCCGAUGGUAGUGUGGGGUCUCCCCAUGCGAGAGUAGGGAACUGCCAGGC
This 117-nucleotide ribosomal RNA is filed under the name Escherichia coli. RNAcentral also lists the same sequence under 3 other names. Lineage: Bacteria; Pseudomonadati; Pseudomonadota; Gammaproteobacteria; Enterobacterales; Enterobacteriaceae. The record is from RNAcentral.